Molecule: RNA transcript, 1680 nt
Organism: Balaenoptera musculus (blue whale)
Lineage: Eukaryota; Metazoa; Chordata; Mammalia; Artiodactyla; Balaenopteridae
Gene: GAS8
Gene name: growth arrest specific 8
Exons: 12
Source: RefSeq, a predicted model, not a curated record
UGCCUGGAGACCGCGCAGCCUGUGCUGUGUUGGCGCGUUGGUCUGCGGGUCGCGGCCGGCGGGACUCCGGAGCCAUGGCGCCCGAAAAGAAAGGGAAGAAAGGGAAAGCCAAAGGUACCCCGAUCGUUGACGGUCUCGCUCCGGAGGACAUGAGCAAGGAACAGGUGGAGGAGCACAUUGGCCGCGUCCGGGAGGAGCUGAGUCGUGAGCGGGAGGAGCGCAGCUACUUCCAGCUGGAGCGGGACAGAAUCCACACUUUCUGGGAGAUCACGCGGAGGCAGCUGGAGGAGAAGAAGGCUGAACUGAGGAACAAAGACCGGGAGAUGGAGGAGGCUGAGGAGAGGCACCAGGUGGAGAUCAAGGUCUAUAAGCAGAAAGUGAAGCACUUGCUGUACGAGCAUCAGAACAGCUUGAUGGAGAUGAAGGCGGAGGGCACGGUGGUCAUGAAGCUGGCGCAGAAGGAGCAGCGCGUGCAGGAGGGGACGCUGUGCAGGGACGUGCGGGCGCUGAAGGUGGGGCUGAAGGAGCAGGAGCUGGCCAGCGAGGUGGCGGUGAAGAGCCUAAGGCUGAAACACGCCGAGGAGAUCACCAAGAUACGCAAGGACUUUGAGCGGCAGGUGCGAGAAAUCGAGGCCAAGUAUGACAAGAAGGUCAGGAUGCUUAGGGAUGAGCUUGACCUGCGCCGGAAGACAGAGAUCCACGAGGUGGAGGAGAGGAAGAACGGCCAGAUCAGCAUGCUUAUGCAGCGCCACGAGGAGGCCUUCACGGACAUCAGGAACUAUUACAACGAAAUCACCCUCAACAACCUGGCUCUCAUCAACUCCCUCAAGGAGCGGAUAGAGCGCAUGCGGAAGAGGGAGGAGCUCCUGGAGAAGGAGGUGACGGAGGCGUCCACGCAGAACAGGCGCCUGGCAGACCCCCUGCAGGAGGCUCGGGACGAGAUGAGUGAGAUGCAGAAGCAGCUUGGGGGCUACGAGAGGGACAAGCAGAUCCUGCUGUGCACGAAAGCCCGUCUGAAAGUCACCGAGAAGGAGCUGAAGAGCCUGCGGUGGGAGCACGAGGUGCUGGAGCAGCGCUUCACCAAGGUGCAGCAGGAGCGGGACGAGCUGUACCGGAAGUUCACCGCAGCCGUCCUGGAGGUGCAGCAGAAGGUGGGCUUCCAGAACCUCGUCUUGGAGCGCAAGGUACAGGCACUGGCCGCCGUGGUGGAGAAGAAGGAGGUGCAGUUCAACGAGGUGCUGGCAGCCUCCAGCCUGGACCCUGCGGCCCUGACCCUCGUGUCCCGCAAGCUGGAGGACGUUCUGGAAUCGAAGAACAGCACCAUCAAGGACUUGCAGUACGAGCUGGCCCGGGUCUGCAAGGCCCACAAUGACUUGCUGCGUACCUAUGAGGCGAAGCUCCUGGCCUUUGGGGUCCCCCUGGACAACGUGGGCUUCAAGCCCCUGGAGACGGCCGUGAUCGGGCAGACGCUGGGCCAGGGCCCCGCAGGACUCGUGGGCACCCCAGCGUAGCCCCUUCCCGGGGCCACUGCCCGGGUGACACUCCCCUCACGCACCGAGGACAGCAGGCGAGUGUGAUGCUGGAGUUGCAACAUUCUACCUCCGCCCCCUCCCCGGCACCAGGAGGACAGACACGGGCCCUAAGGAAGACACACGCUGAGGAGGAAAGAAGCUGCAUCCC